RNAcentral lists this ribosomal RNA (33 nucleotides) under Tetraodon nigroviridis (spotted green pufferfish). Lineage: Eukaryota; Metazoa; Chordata; Actinopteri; Tetraodontiformes; Tetraodontidae. The record is from RNAcentral.
AACGCCCGAUCUCGUCUGAUCUCGGAAGCUAAN